GAUGAACGCUGGCGGCGUGCCUAAUACAUGCAAGUCGAGCGAACAGACGAGGAGCUUGCUCCUCUGACGUUAGCGGCGGACGGGUGAGUAACACGUGGAUAACCUACCUAUAAGACUGGGAUAACUUCGGGAAACCGGAGCUAAUACCGGAUAAUAUAUUGAACCGCAUGGUUCAAUAGUGAAAGGCGGUUUUGCUGUCACUUAUAGAUGGAUCCGCGCCGCAUUAGCUAGUUGGUAAGGUAACGGCUUACCAAGGCGACGAUGCGUAGCCGACCUGAGAGGGUGAUCGGCCACACUGGAACUGAGACAGGGUCCAGACUCCUACGGGAGGCAGCAGUAGGGAAUCUUCCGCAAUGGGCGAAAGCCUGACGGAGCAACGCCGCGUGAGUGAUGAAGGUCUUCGGAUCGUAAAACUCUGUUAUUAGGGAAGAACAAAUGUGUAAGUAACUAUGCACGUCUUGACGGUACCUAAUCAGAAAGCCACGGCUAACUACGUG
RNAcentral lists this ribosomal RNA (497 nucleotides) under uncultured bacterium. RNAcentral describes it as "partial 16S ribosomal RNA". It matches the Rfam family "Bacterial small subunit ribosomal RNA", at positions 28 to 507 of the family's 1533-position model. The record is from RNAcentral.